Molecule: long non-coding RNA, 388 nt
Organism: Polypterus senegalus (gray bichir)
Lineage: Eukaryota; Metazoa; Chordata; Cladistia; Polypteriformes; Polypteridae
Exons: 3
Source: RefSeq, a predicted model, not a curated record
CUAGCUUGGCAUAUGGAAUUGACACCGUCAUCUAACUGGGGAUAAGUGCAUCACAACAGCUACCUACAAAUCAACAUGGACAACAUUGGAAAAAGCCUUGGAGGCGGUAAAGAUGCAAUAAAAACAAAGGCAACAGAGGUGAUCGAUGAUGCUGCUAAAACAGCCAAAGCACAGGUGGAUAAUCUCAUGGGACAGGCUAAAGCUGGGGGUGAAAAAGGUGUGCAGUGUGCCAAGAAAUCAGCAGGAAAUGCUGAAAAGGACGUAAAAGCAGCAGGCAAGAACAUUGGAUUUUAAGAAGGACACCUACACCUCCACCUCCACCAAUGUCUUAAGCGCCUGUGACUCAUUUAGUAAUGUGUUUAAAAUAAAGAUUGUUCUAAACUAUUAA